This 424-nucleotide ribosomal RNA is filed under the name uncultured prokaryote. RNAcentral's name for it is "bacterial SSU rRNA". It matches the Rfam family "Bacterial small subunit ribosomal RNA", at positions 355 to 796 of the family's 1533-position model. The record is from RNAcentral.
UGGGGAAUCUUGGACAAUGGGGGCAACCCUGAUCCAGCCAUGCCGCGUGGGUGAAGAAGGCCUUAGGGUUGUAAAGCCCUUUCAGUCGUGACGAUGAUGACGGUAGCGACAGAAGAAGCCCCGGCUAACUCCGUGCCAGCAGCCGCGGUAAUACGGAGGGGGCAAGCGUUGUUCGGAUUUACUGGGCGUAAAGGGCGCGUAGGCGGACGGUCAAGUCAGAGGUGAAAGGCCCGGGCUCAACCUGGGACGUGCCUUUGAAACUGGUUGUCUUGAGUGCGGAAGAGGGUGACGGAAUCCCCAGGGUAGAGGUGAAAUUCGUAGAUAUUGGGAAGAACACCGGUGGCGAAGGCGGCUCACUGGCUCGAUACUGACGCUGAGGUGCGAAAGUGUGGGGAGCAAACAGGAUUAGAUACCCGUGUAGUCC